GGGGGUGUAGCUCAGGGGUAGAGCGCUGCCUUCGCACGGCAGAGGCCAGGGGUUCAAAUCCCCUCACCUCCA
RNAcentral lists this transfer RNA (72 nucleotides) under Actinomycetes bacterium. RNAcentral's name for it is "Actinobacteria bacterium tRNA-Ala". It matches the Rfam family "tRNA". From Rfam's summary of the family: Transfer RNA (tRNA) molecules are approximately 80 nucleotides in length. Lineage: Bacteria; Bacillati; Actinomycetota; Actinomycetes. The record is from RNAcentral. RNAcentral also lists the same sequence under 2 other names.